This is a non-coding RNA of Phrynosoma platyrhinos (Desert horned lizard), 72 nucleotides long. The record is from the annotation of a GenBank genome assembly. NCBI's taxonomy places the organism in Eukaryota, Metazoa, Chordata, Lepidosauria, Squamata, Phrynosomatidae.
GGCAGCGUAGUGCAGUGGUUUGAAUGUUGGACUGUGACUCUGAAGACCAGGGUUUGAGUCCCAGCUCAACUA